CCGUGCUAAGCGGGGAGGUAGCGGUGCCCUGUACUCGCAAGCCGCUAUAGCGAGGCCGAAUUCCCACCCUAGGUGGGGUGGCCUCAAGGUCUGCCUUAAGCGAUUGGUGUUGACACCCGGGUCCUGCACAAUGGGGACCCGUAAACCCUGUCAGGUCCGGAAGGAAGCAGCAGUAAGCGGUCAUCUCCGUGUGUUGCGGGGUCGCCUGGGUCGAGCCAUGACCUUGAGUAACGCUUGGGGCCACCUCAUCGAAGGUGGGUGCACGG
Non-coding RNA from Pontibacillus yanchengensis Y32, 266 nucleotides. It matches the Rfam family "Bacterial large signal recognition particle RNA". From Rfam's summary of the family: The signal recognition particle (SRP) is a universally conserved ribonucleoprotein involved in the co-translational targeting of proteins to membranes. Archaeal SRP consists of a 7S RNA and homologues of the eukaryotic SRP19 and SRP54 proteins. In most bacteria, the SRP consists of a 4.5S RNA and the Ffh protein (a homologue of the eukaryotic SRP54 protein). NCBI's taxonomy places the organism in Bacteria, Bacillati, Bacillota, Bacilli, Caryophanales, Bacillaceae. The record is from Rfam.